CCUACGGGAGGCAGCAGUGGGGAAUAUUGGGCAAUGGGCGCAAGCCUGACCCAGCAACGCCGCGUGAAGGAAGAAGGCUUUCGGGUUGUAAACUUCUUUUGUCAGGGACGAAGCAAGUGACGGUACCUGACGAAUAAGCCACGGCUAACUACGUGCCAGCAGCCGCGGUAAUACGUAGGUGGCAAGCGUUAUCCGGAUUUACUGGGUGUAAAGGGCGUGUAGGCGGGAAAGCAAGUCAGAUGUGAAAACCACGGGCUCAACCUGUGGCCUGCAUUUGAAACUGUUUUUCUUGAGUGCUGGGGAGGCAAUCGGAAUUCCGUGUGUAGCGGUGAAAUGCGUAGAUAUACGGAGGAACACCAGUGGCGAAGGCGGAUUGCUGGACAGUAACUGACGCUGAGGCGCGAAAGCGUGGGGAGCAAACAGGAUUAGAUACCCCUGUAGUC
Molecule: ribosomal RNA, 443 nt
Filed under: uncultured bacterium
Lineage: Bacteria
Description: partial 16S ribosomal RNA
Rfam family: Bacterial small subunit ribosomal RNA
Source: RNAcentral